This 396-nucleotide ribosomal RNA is filed under the name uncultured bacterium. RNAcentral's name for it is "bacterial SSU rRNA". It matches the Rfam family "Bacterial small subunit ribosomal RNA", at positions 28 to 416 of the family's 1533-position model. The record is from RNAcentral.
GAUGAACGCUGGCGGUGUGCCUAAUACAUGCAAGUCGAACGAGGUGCUUUUGUAGCAAUACGAGAGUAUCCUAGUGGCGAACGGGUGAGUAACGCGUGGAUGACCUGCCCCAAAGUGUGGGAUAACAGUCCGAAAGGAUUGCUAAUACCUCAUGUGGUUAUCGGUUUUAGAAAGCGAUAACUAAAGCAGCAAUGCGCUUUGGGAGGGAUCUGCGUCCCAUCAGCUAGUUGGUGAGGUAACGGCUCACCAAGGCGACGACGGGUAGGGGACCUGAGAGGGUGGCCCCCCACAAUGGAACUGAAACAACGGUCCAUACACCUACGGGUGGCAGCAGUAGGGAAUAUUGCUCAAUGGGCGAAAGCCUGAAGCAGCAACGCCGCGUGUGCGAUGAAGGCC